Molecule: ribosomal RNA, 253 nt
Filed under: uncultured bacterium
Lineage: Bacteria
Description: partial 16S ribosomal RNA
Rfam family: Bacterial small subunit ribosomal RNA
Source: RNAcentral
UACGUAGGGUCCGAGCGUUGUCCGGAAUUAUUGGGCGUAAAGGGCUCGUAGGCGGUCUGUUGCGUCGGGAGUGAAAACUUACAGCUUAACUGUGAGCGUGCUUUCGAUACGGGCAGACUUGAGGCAUUCAGGGGAGAACGGAAUUCCUGGUGUAGCGGUGAAAUGCGCAGAUAUCUGGAGGAACACCGGUGGCGAAGGCGGCAUCCUGGACCGACACUGACGCUGAGGCGCGAAAGCCAGGGGAGCGAACGGG